Long non-coding RNA from Ictalurus punctatus (channel catfish), 739 nucleotides. Lineage: Eukaryota; Metazoa; Chordata; Actinopteri; Siluriformes; Ictaluridae. The record is from Ensembl.
UGUCCUGUCUAUCUCUUCCUCUGUCUACCUGUCUAUUCCCCAGUCUGUCUGUCAGUCUGUCUGUCUGUCUGUCUGUUCCCCAGUCUGUCUGUCUGUCUGUCUGUUCCCCAGUCAGUCUGUCUGUCUCUCUCUUCCCCAGUCAGUCUGUCUGUUCUCUCUCUUUCCCAGUCUGUCUGUCUGUCUGUCUCUCUCUUCCCCAGUCUGUCUGUCUGUCUGUCUCUCUCUUCCCAGUCUGUCUGUCUGUCUGUCUCUCUCUUCCACAGUCUGUCUGUCUGUCUCUCUCUUCCCCAGUCUGUCUGUCUGUCUCUCUCUUCCCCAUCUUGUCUGUCUGUCUCUCUCUCUCUUCCCCAGUCUGUCUGUCUGUCUGUCUCUCUCUCCCCAGUCUGUCUGUCUGUCUUCCCCAGUCUGUCUGUCUCUCUCUUCCCCAGUCUGUCUGUCUGUCUCUCUCUUCCCCAGUCUGUCUGUCUGUCUCUCUCUUCCCCCAGUCUGUCUGUCUGUCUCUCUCUUCCCAGUCUGUCUGUCUGUCUGUCUCUCUCUUCCCCUGUCUGUCUGUCUGUCUCUCUCUCUCUUCCCCAUUCUGUCUGUCUGUCUCUCUCUCUCUUCCCCAGUCUGUCUGUCUGUCUGUCUCUCUCUUCCCCAGUCUGUCUGUCUGUCUUCCCCGUCUGUCUGUCUGUCUUCCCCUGUCUGUCUGUCUUCCCCAGUCUGUCUGUCUUCCCCAGUCUGUCUGUCUGUCUUCCCC